UGUGUGUGUGUGUGUGUGUGUGUGUAUAUGUGUAUAUAUAUAUAUAUACAUAUAUAUAUAUACACACACACACACACC
This is a non-coding RNA of Pelobates cultripes (western spadefoot toad), 78 nucleotides long. The record is from the annotation of a GenBank genome assembly. Lineage: Eukaryota; Metazoa; Chordata; Amphibia; Anura; Pelobatidae.